UACGUAUGGGGCAAGCGUUAUCCGGAUUUACUGGGUGUAAAGGGAGCGCAGGCGGCAAGGCAAGUCAGAAGUGAAAACCCGGGGCUCAACCCCGUGAUUGCUUUUGAGACUGUUUAGCUGGAGUGCAGGAGGGGCAAGCGGAAUUCCUAGUGUAGCGGUGAAAUGCGUAGAUAUUAGGAAGAACACCGGUGGCGAAGGCGGCUUGCUGGACUGUAACUGACGCUGAGGCUCGAAGGCGUGGGGAGCAAAC
This 250-nucleotide ribosomal RNA is filed under the name uncultured prokaryote. Its description in RNAcentral is "partial 16S ribosomal RNA". It matches the Rfam family "Bacterial small subunit ribosomal RNA", at positions 524 to 773 of the family's 1533-position model. The record is from RNAcentral.